CGCACACACACAUAUAUAUUCUCGAAUUCUGCAGACAUGAAUUGUAUAUAAUGUAUGAAUUACCAUUAAGAUGCAUAUUUACAAGAUUUCUGUAAAUCAUGUGAAUAUAUAUGAACAAGAUUUCUUUAAAAAAAUAAAAAAAAUAAAAAGACAAAACAAGACCAUAUAUAAAGUAUAAGGCCAAAACAAAGACCAUCCAAUAAGGACAAACAACAGCGCAAGGAUUUAACCCACCCAAAACUUUUGAAAAUCAAUCCGUUGGCACCAGAGUCAUCUUCUCCGGUGAAGAGCCGGCAACACACAGCUAAGCAUUUGCUAGCUAGCUUAACGAAUCGAGUCUGGUGGCGGAGGUGGUGGUCGGAUGGAGGAAGAAGGGAGGUCCCAAAGAUUACGGGCACGCCGAGCAGCCAUGCCGUCUUUGAGUGAAAAGGGGAGGAGUCUUUCCCUUACUGGAGUGGGGGUUUUCAGCAGAACUGAGCUCUGUGAAUUGGAUAUACCUUUGAAGACUCUUGAAUUUCUUUCUGCCCAAAAUUUGAUAGAUUGUUGAUGGCAUUUGCAAUGUUCUUGGAUGUCCAAUGAUGUGAAGCCAGAUUGGAGAGGUGACCAAUUUGAAUGUGUGACCAGAUUGGAGAGGUGAAGGAACCGGGAGAAGAAAAGAUGGUUCAAUGAUUAGCAGUAUGUUUGUAGAACAUGGAUUAGUGAUCAAGGGUGGGUAGUUUGUUGAGUACAGCCAGCCAAAGAAUGACUCUGUGUCUUGGUAUGGACAUUGAAUUCCAGACCAGUUGGUACCAUAAGCAGGGGGGAAGGUGUAGUAAUUGAGUCAAUAUGGUGUGUCUUAGUGAGAACUUGACAUUUGGGGAGGGCUUCCAGGUGAAUGAAUCAAUACCCAAGUCAGGUGGAGAGAGCAAUUGUGGAUUGGGGAGCAGAUUUAGUAUAUUCUCUGGAAAAAUCCUGGAAUUUGCUGACAACCAAGUGUUCAUCUUGGCAUUGAAGGGAGUUCCACUGGCUUUAAUCUGUUCAUGUGUGAACCUGCAGCACAGGGGGUCAUCUUCCAGUCAGUUGUGAUGCUAGAAUGAGAUGUAUUCUCCAUUUCCCUUCUUUGCCUCAGUCAGCUUCUUUAAGACUGGUCUGAGUUGCAAAAGGUUCCUCCAAUUUGUAUGACAAUUUUUGAGAUGGCUGAGCAUGGGGACCCGAUUCACCCACUGGUGAAUGAGGAAGAAGAAUUGGGUGAUAUUUUUGGAGGGCUUGGGAAUCUGGAAAAUCUACCAAAUAUUGAUAACGUGGGACUUGCAGAUGCAAUGCCAAUUUUGGUGGCACUAAAUGACGAAAAUUUGGAGAAUUUCCCCUAUUUUUUUGAUUUUGGAGAUAACUUCCCCGAUGAAGUUCAGCUGGAAUUUUCCUAGCUUUCUUGGGGGUUUAAUUUAUUGAUACUAACUUAUACACAAUAGGAGGAAUACUCGAGCUGAAGCAUCAACAAACAAUUUGGCCCUUUUAAAGCAGCCUAUUCAACAACCUUGAGUGGUACUUCAUUUUUUAACUAUUAGUAUACAGGUAAUGCAGUUAGAGCUAUGCACUCUGUUAAUUUGGAUAAUUGAACAAAUUUGUAUACAUGUGGUUAUUAUGAGUCCCUGCACUUCAUGAUGAGCUGCUGGGCUGAGAGGAAAGACCAUUUAACAAACAGGUUGAAAGAGAAUGAUUCAUUCUGUAGUCUUUAGUAUUCUGUCCUUUUAACUUGUAAGGAUUUUCAAAAUAGAAGUGAAGAACUGAAGAUAGGUAAAUGAUGAUGGAGCUACACCGAAAAUCUUGCACCAUGACAUUUAAUUUAGUAGCUGAAUUUAAGUG
Cornus florida is the source of this 1842-nucleotide long non-coding RNA. RefSeq lists it as uncharacterized. The transcript has 3 exons. The record is from RefSeq and is a predicted model, not a curated record. Lineage: Eukaryota; Viridiplantae; Streptophyta; Magnoliopsida; Cornales; Cornaceae.